GACACCUUCACUGAUGGGAGCUGGAUGGUGAGCACUGAGCCACUGUCUGGCUUACUCAGUGCUGUACAUUGGAGGUGGCAUGUACAUUGGAGUUCAUUCAAAGGCGCUUCAUUGGCAUGAACCCUGAGAGAGAGAGAGAGAGAGAGAGAGAGACAAAAACGUCAAAAGGAAAAGUGACAUCUAAAACCGCAGGGCGACGUACAGGGAAACAGGUUGCAGUGAACCCGCGUGUUUCCACUCUACUCUGCAAGCUGAUGGACUACCAGUGCCAUUUCUAAAAUGCCACUCCUUGGAGCCUCUGGGUCGGGAUCUGGACCUGAAGUGCUCUCCAUUUCAUCCUUUUCUUGUUCAGCAGAUUAACGGAGACUCAGCUGUUGUGGCUGUGGCUUUUUGUAUUGUUUCAUUGUUGGCAUGUAGUUAAAAAGCAUAUGCACUUUCUGUAUUGUGAAGUACAAAAUUAACUUUUUAUUGUUUUUAAGACCAUGUUCUCAAUUGGUGUUGAUGACCUUUCUUUACCUCAGUGGCAGGGGACCAGGCCUUUAUUUGGGGUUAUUUUAGAGACAUGCAUUUAUUUCUACAUGUAUCGUAUGAGUUGUUGUUGGGUACAAGUAAUUCCAACCAACUCAGUGUUUUUUUUUAAUCUGACUUAUUUGAGACCAUUAUUCAAAUAUUCUCUUUGAUAUGGGAAUAUACUAUAUGUGAAUUUUUAAAAAAUCAUUUUUGCACUUGAAGGACUUCGUAAGACCAUUUUGAACAGUUAUGAAUGUAAGUUAUAUUUUUUUAAAUAAACCUUUUAAAUAAAAAUAAAUAAAGCAGUUUUACUGGUUUACCUUUGACAGGUAAGAUGAGCGUGUGUAACUUGAAAAUAAAGCUGCUGGUAAUUGUAGAACAUUUUAGAACAAACAGAAAUAAUGCUGCAUGUAUACAGUCUUGUAGUCUAAUUACAGAAGAGCCCUCUC
Molecule: long non-coding RNA, 959 nt
Organism: Siniperca chuatsi (mandarin fish)
Lineage: Eukaryota; Metazoa; Chordata; Actinopteri; Centrarchiformes; Sinipercidae
Exons: 3
Source: RefSeq, a predicted model, not a curated record